Small nuclear RNA from Grammomys surdaster, 107 nucleotides. The record is from RefSeq and is a predicted model, not a curated record. NCBI's taxonomy places the organism in Eukaryota, Metazoa, Chordata, Mammalia, Rodentia, Muridae.
GUGCUCGCUUUGGUAGCAUAUAUACUAAAACUGGAUCCACAAAGAAAAGAUUUGGAUGGCUCCUGUUUAAGGUUGGCAAAAACAAACAAAAAAGUGAAGUGUUGUAU